This 379-nucleotide unclassified non-coding RNA is filed under the name uncultured Pyronemataceae. Its description in RNAcentral is "sequence contains ITS2". The stretch from base 1 to 154 matches the Rfam family "5.8S ribosomal RNA". The record is from RNAcentral. Lineage: Eukaryota; Fungi; Ascomycota; Pezizomycetes; Pezizales; Pyronemataceae.
AACUUUUGACAACGGAUCACUUGGUUCUCGCAUCGAAGAAGAACGCAGCGAAAUGCGAUAAGUAGUGUGAAUUGCAGAAUUCAGUGAAUCAUCGAACCUUUGAACGCACAUUGCGCCUCCUGGUAUUCCGGGAGGCAUGCCUGUUCGAGCGUCAUUAAAAACCACUCAAGCUCUUUUGCUUGGUAUUGGAAGAGGAGUGCACUCGCUUGCCCUCCCUUCCGAAAUUCAAUGGCGGAAAGCCCCAUGUGCCCCGGCGUAGUAAGUUUUCUUUCGCUUGGAACCUGAGGUGAUCCUGCCGCAAACCCCCAAUUCUUUCUAGGUUGACCUCGGAUCAGGUAGGGAUACCCGCUGAACUUAAGCAUAUCAAUAAGCGGAGGCU